Molecule: unclassified non-coding RNA, 359 nt
Filed under: soil metagenome
Description: partial contains 5.8S ribosomal RNA, internal transcribed spacer 2, and large subunit ribosomal RNA
Rfam family: 5.8S ribosomal RNA (bases 1-120)
Source: RNAcentral
GAUGAAGAACGUAGCGAAAUGCGAUAAGUAAUGUGAAUUGCAGAAUUCAGUGAAUCAUCGAAUCUUUGAACGCGCAUUGCGGCCGCCAGCAUUCUGGCGGGCAUGCCUGUUCGAGCGUCAUUUCAACCCCUCGGGCCCUGGUGCCCGGCGUCGGGGCGCUUCCCACCCCCGGGAACCCCCCAGAAGCAGUGGCGGACCCGCCGCGGCUCCGAGCGCAGUAGUUAAUAUUUCUCGCUCAGGAGGCCCGCGGGGGCGACUUCGGCCGUUAAACCGGACCCUCGCGUCCACGUACACACAAAGGUUGACCUCGGAUCAGGUAGGAAUACCCGCUGAACUUAAGCAUAUCAAUAAGCGGAGGA